AGCAGCCGCGGUAAUUCCAGCUCCAAUAGCGUAUAUUAAAGUUGUUGCAGUUAAAAAGCUCGUAGUUGAAUUUCGGGACUAAUAUGUCGGUCGUGCCUCGGUACGUACUGGCUUAUUGGUUUCUCCUUCUGAAGAACCUCGAUGUCAUUAAUUUGGUGUCUUGGGGAAUCAGGACUGUUGCUUUGAAAAAAUUAGAGUGUUUAAAGCAGGCUCGCGCUUGAAUACAUUAGCAUGGAAUAAUGAAAUAGGACGUUUGAUUCUAUUUUGUUGGUUUCUAGGAUCGACGUAAUGAUUAAUAGGGAUAGUUGGGGGCAUUAGUAUUCAAUUGUCAGAGGUGAAAUUCUUGGAUUUAUGAAGACUAACUACUGCGAAAGCAUUUGCCAAGGAUGUUUUCAUUAAUCAAGAACGAAAGUUAGGGGAUCGAAGACGAUCAGAUACCGUCGUAGUCUUAACCA
RNAcentral lists this ribosomal RNA (455 nucleotides) under uncultured Glomus. Its description in RNAcentral is "SSU rRNA". It matches the Rfam family "Eukaryotic small subunit ribosomal RNA", at positions 569 to 1032 of the family's 1831-position model. Lineage: Eukaryota; Fungi; Glomeromycota; Glomeromycetes; Glomerales; Glomeraceae. The record is from RNAcentral.